RNAcentral lists this ribosomal RNA (465 nucleotides) under uncultured bacterium. Its description in RNAcentral is "partial 16S ribosomal RNA". It matches the Rfam family "Bacterial small subunit ribosomal RNA", at positions 338 to 795 of the family's 1533-position model. The record is from RNAcentral.
CCUACGGGAGGCUGCAGUAGGGAAUCUUCCACAAUGGGCGAAAGCCUGAUGGAGCAACGCCGCGUGGGUGAAGAAGGCCUUCGGAUCGUAAAACCCUGUUGUUAGAGAAGAAAGCGCGUGAGAGUAACUGUUCACGUUUCGACGGUACCUAACCAGAAAGCCACGGCUAACUACGUGCCAGCAGCCGCGGUAAUACGUAGGUGGCAAGUGUUAUCCGGAUUUAUUGGGCGUAAAGGGAACGCAGGCGGUCUUUUAAGUUUGAUGUGAAAGCCUUCGGCUUAACCGGGGAAGUGCAUUGGAGACUGGGGGACUUGAGUGCAGAUGAGGAGAGUGGAACUCCAUGUGUAGCGGUGAAAUGCGUAGAUAUAUGAAAGAACACCAGUGGCGAAGGCGGCUCACUGAUCUGUAUCUGACGCUGAGGUUCGAAAGCGUGGGUAGCAAACAGGAUUAGAUACCCUUGUAGUC